CGCGUCCCUGUAAAUUUAUUAUUAUCAGUUUUUUUGGCAUUUCUUCUGUUUGAUAACGCAAUUUACAUCCGCUAAAGCUCAGAAACGACGCUAAAAUAGGUCUGGAAGGGAGGCCUGAAGGCUGCGGAGCCAUAUCACGAUGACAUUUGUCAUGUGCGAAACGUUCGGCUGCGUUCGGGUGUGUUCGGGCGGGCUCGUGAGCGAUCGGGCGUGUUCGGAAGCGGUCGGGGGCCGUCCGUCCGUAUUGAUCUUGUGGUGUCGGCCGGCGCCGGGCGGCCGGUCGCCGGUGGCGCCCCCGUGCGUCGCUAAUGAGACCUGAUGGCGAUCCAUUAUUUAGGAGCUCGGAGACGGUGCGGUACGAGAAAUUAAUGGCAAAUUUAUUGAUUUAUUGCAAGCGAAAUUAAAGAUUGAUUAGUUAAGUGAGUUUCUGCACGAGAGAUACGAGAUUAAUCCCGUUCGUAAUAAGUAAUAAACUAAAUGUACGAGGAGCUGCUCUCGAUUUAAUAGUAAACUUAUCAUUGUAUCAUUUGUAAGAUAUAUUUAGAUGAAUCAAAUUAAUUCAUAUUACAUUCAACCUGUCAUACCAUAAGGAUAAUAUAGAAAAGGAAGUUUUUUGCGUAGUUUUUUGUGACACGAUUUUUAUAAAGAAUAAUUAAAAAUAAAAUAUAGAGUGAUCGUU
This is a long non-coding RNA of Bombyx mori (domestic silkworm), 679 nucleotides long. RefSeq lists it as uncharacterized. NCBI's taxonomy places the organism in Eukaryota, Metazoa, Arthropoda, Insecta, Lepidoptera, Bombycidae. The record is from RefSeq and is a predicted model, not a curated record. The transcript is spliced from 2 exons.